This is a non-coding RNA of Phascolarctos cinereus (koala), 595 nucleotides long. NCBI's taxonomy places the organism in Eukaryota, Metazoa, Chordata, Mammalia, Diprotodontia, Phascolarctidae. The record is from RefSeq and is a predicted model, not a curated record.
UCCAAAUUCCCAAACAAGUUUGCUUGCUAAUGAGAUCGGGGGAUCCUAGCCCUUUUUUUGGACAACUUCCUACAGAGAUGCCUCUUUAGCUCACUCCAUGGCAGCUGUUUAAUGAAGUCAGGUCUUUCCUAAAGGGCUAUCUAAUGGAAUUCCCCAAUGUUAAUGGCUUUCUAGAAGACUCAGCUGAAAUCCCAUCAUAUACAAGGAAUACAAAGAGGCUGAUGACACUGAAUCAUGGAGUAUGUGGAGGUGAAGGCUUAGUUGAGUCUACUUCUGGCCAUGAAUGACUAAGGAAACGGUAUUGUGUGAACCAGGAAGAGGAAGAAGCUGAAGUGAGAGUGGAAGAAACCUAGAGGUGGGACACCAGGAAACAAUCAGAAGGACAGCUCUACCAUCUAUUACAAUUGUGGAGACACUGGUUAUGUUCAGGUUGGAUGUACUCAUGAAGAAAAUGAAGCUUUGGUGCUAUGAAACUAAGGUCUGUUAAGACCAGCAGUAGGAGGAAAAGCAGGGUCCAGAGAAGGAACCAUCUCUGAAGAUUUAAAACAGUGAGGAUGAACUCAUCAUCGAUCAUCUAUGGAGUUAUGCCACCCAG